GCCCCAGGUGGGAGACGGCGCCCUCGCCGACCAGGGCGGCGAAGGCCUCCAGGGUCUCCGGGAGCGGGGUUCUGGGGUCCUCGUUGUGGGC
RNAcentral lists this transfer RNA (91 nucleotides) under Nocardiopsis dassonvillei. RNAcentral's name for it is "tRNA-Leu(cag)". The record is from RNAcentral. Lineage: Bacteria; Bacillati; Actinomycetota; Actinomycetes; Streptosporangiales; Nocardiopsidaceae.